CUCAUAUUCUUUUUACUUCUUAUUAGUUGUUGUGACCUGUUUUCUCCAUUAGUAUAAAAUGGUGCAUUGGCACAACAUAGUCAUCAGUUGUAUCUGGAAAUUAUCACCAUGAAACUCUUUGCCUUCAUCACGUUGUUCGUGUGCGCCAUCUUGGCUCUGGUCAGCGGCAGCAGUCAGCAGGUGUACCACAGACAGGUGCGCAGCUCAGUGCCUGUCCAGGACGCAGAGCCACAACAACAACCACCGCACUACGGAUACGGAUACGGACGCUAGAGAAUAAAUGCGUCUUUUUUUAUUUUAAAUUUGGAUUUUUGUUUUGUGAUUAUUAAAAUUUUAUUUGGCA
Molecule: long non-coding RNA, 343 nt
Organism: Spodoptera frugiperda (fall armyworm)
Lineage: Eukaryota; Metazoa; Arthropoda; Insecta; Lepidoptera; Noctuidae
Exons: 2
Source: RefSeq, a predicted model, not a curated record